ACCACCUGAACCCAUGCCGAACUCAGAAGUGAAACGCGGUAGCGCCGAUGGUAGUGUGGCAUUCGCCAUGCGAGAGUAGGACACUGCC
Molecule: ribosomal RNA, 88 nt
Filed under: Aeromonas hydrophila
Lineage: Bacteria; Pseudomonadati; Pseudomonadota; Gammaproteobacteria; Aeromonadales; Aeromonadaceae
Source: RNAcentral